RNAcentral lists this non-coding RNA (30 nucleotides) under Macaca fascicularis (crab-eating macaque). The record is from RNAcentral. RNAcentral also lists the same sequence under 1 other name. Lineage: Eukaryota; Metazoa; Chordata; Mammalia; Primates; Cercopithecidae.
UGGGCUAAAGGAAAGGUUCAAAGUGGGGUA